AUUGAACGCUGGCGGCAUGCCUUACACAUGCAAGUCGAACGGCAGCACGGGAGCUUGCUCCUGGUGGCGAGUGGCGAACGGGUGAGUAAUACAUCGGAACGUACCCUGAAGUGGGGGAUAACGUAGCGAAAGUUACGCUAAUACCGCAUAUUCUGUGAGCAGGAAAGAGGGGGAUCGCAAGACCUCUUGCUUUAGGAGCGGCCGAUGUCGGAUUAGCUAGUUGGUGAGGUGAAGGCUCACCAAGGCGACGAUCCGUAGCGGGUCUGAGAGGAUGAUCCGCCACACUGGGACUGAGACACGGCCCAGACUCCUACGGGAGGCAGCAGUGGGGAGUUUUGGACAAUGGGCGCAAGCCUGAUCCAGCCAUGCCGCGUGAGUGAAGAAGGCCUCGGUUGUAAG
RNAcentral lists this ribosomal RNA (399 nucleotides) under uncultured bacterium. RNAcentral's name for it is "bacterial SSU rRNA". It matches the Rfam family "Bacterial small subunit ribosomal RNA", at positions 30 to 429 of the family's 1533-position model. The record is from RNAcentral.